CAGAGCUGAGCUGCUUUCAGACGACUCCGUCUUGUUGUGGAUGCUGAAGGUGAUCAUGGUUCUCCUGUGGAUGAUCCUGUUGGUGGUUCUGCUCUGUGCAGAGGCCAAGAAUGUGACCGAGGUCAGAGGAGAGCUGGGGACCAAUGUCACUCUAACCUGCUCCGAUCAGACAGCAGAGAUCCACUGGUACAUGGAGAUCUACAGUCAGUUCAGAGCAUGUAUCGGCCGCAGUUUUUCUUCAGCAGCUACCUACUGCUCUCCUGGUUUUGAAACCAAAUUUUCAAUCCUGGGAAACAAACUCGUGAUUAAAAACUUCAGAGCAGAGGACUGCAGGCUUUACUUCUGUGGCAUCAAGAGAUAUGGCAGCAUUUAUUUUGUGGAGACUUUCCGCCUCGUCUCAGAGUCAGAUCAUCAUCAGGAGAACAGCUCCACAUCAGAUCAUCAGCUCGUCAUCAUGUACCGCUCAGCCUUCAUCAUUACUGCCCUCAUCCUCCUUAUGCUGGUUGUGGUUUUUGCAUCUCUGUGGUUGAAGAGGAAAUAACAGAGUGACCAGGCGGAUGAACAUCAACCUGUGACCAACUAGAAUACAGAGACUCUGCAGAGCUCCCAGGGUGAGGAAAAACACUCCCACCCCAAGAACAUCACUGAAAGAAUACUGAAGAUGUGUCUGCGCUGUGUCUGUGUGUCCAAGUAUUCCAAACAAUCAUCAUAGUAAUAACAGGCACUGUGGCUGUGGGUGCUGUUUGGACUUCUCUGACUGCUGUCAGUCUUUUAUUACUGUAAACAAUAUGGCAGCAGUGUUUGUAGUAAUUACAAUAAAUGCAUUGGUAAACUGACAACUGAUUGAGUGAAG
Oreochromis aureus is the source of this 853-nucleotide long non-coding RNA. Lineage: Eukaryota; Metazoa; Chordata; Actinopteri; Cichliformes; Cichlidae. The record is from Ensembl.